RNAcentral lists this long non-coding RNA (873 nucleotides) under Citrus sinensis (sweet orange). Its description in RNAcentral is "long non-coding RNA (CSIN_LNC004265)". The record is from RNAcentral. Lineage: Eukaryota; Viridiplantae; Streptophyta; Magnoliopsida; Sapindales; Rutaceae.
UGGUUAUCUCAGUUAUCGGGUUUGCUUGUUCGGUCCCUUCUGGGCUCUUUUUGGCAAGCUAUGCUUGCACCAAUAAGCUCAUGAGUAAGCUGCUGCCGGGGUCUACUCCGCCUCACUUUUUAUUAGAUUAUGGAACAAAGUAUAGAGAUGAAGAAUUUGAGAAUUAUGAUAUUGGAGAACAAGGAUACGUGGAGCUUAAAGGACAUAUUGAUAUGUGGAAGGAGCAAGAUGAAAUUGAUGGAGGGAAGGCUUUGGUGAGUGAUGAAUAUGAGCAAGGAGGUUUCCAUAUUAAUGAUGCGAAUGAGAUUGUGGAAGAAAAUGAGUAUCAAGAAGGUGUUGGUGAGUGUGAAGAUGAAAUGGAGGAAGCAGCAUUUGGAAUUGAGGUGAAAUUUGAAUCAAUUAGAGAGGAAGAUGGGAAUCCGGCGCCAGAAGGAACCCAGGGUCAGCUUCCUGUAGAUGAGGUGCAUGCUGUUGUUGUUGAAAUUGCUGGAGAUGAGACAAGUGGCAUAAUUGUUGAAGAAAAAGAGGCGCUGGCAUUUACUGUCACAAAUAUAGCCAUAGAAUUAUGUCAGAAUAGAGACAUUGAGGAAGAGCAGGAAUUAGUGAGAGAGACCAGGGGAUUAUUAGAAAAAAUCAGGGAGGAGGGUAUGACUGCUAAUGGAGACAAUGAGAAGCAGAGUGUAGAAAAACUGUCUGGAGUUGCAGGGGAAGGAGACAGGAAAGUUGAAGAAAUUGGGUUGCCUUCUGAAAAUAAAAAUUAUUAUGGCACCGUCAGAAUUGAACAUGCUGAAGGUUUGUUAGGUAAAAGAGAUGGCGAUAACAUUUUGGAAUCAGGAAAAUCUGAAGUUGAGAAAGAUGGAGCAACUAAUAGUG